AUUGAACGCUGGCGGCAGGCUUAACACAUGCAAGUCGAGCGAGCGGCGGACGGGUGAGUAAUGUCUGGGAAACUGCCUGAUGGAGGGGGAUAACUACUGGAAACGGUAGCUAAUACCGCAUACCAUCAGAUGUGCCCAGAUGGGAUUAGCUAGUAGGUGGGGUAAUGGCUCACCUAGGCGACGAUCCCUCGCUGGUCUGAGAGGCUGACAAGACACACCGGACCUGGGAUCCGGUCCAGAACCCUACGGGGGGAAGCAUGGGGGAAUAUUGCACGAUGGGCGCAAGCCUGCUGCCGCCAUGCCGCGUGUGGGAAGAAGGCCUUAGGGUUGUAAAGCACUUUCAGCGAGGAGGCGUUACUCGCAGAAGAAGCACCGGCUAACUCCGUGCCAGCAGCCGCGGUAAUAC
Molecule: ribosomal RNA, 406 nt
Filed under: uncultured bacterium
Lineage: Bacteria
Description: partial 16S ribosomal RNA
Rfam family: Bacterial small subunit ribosomal RNA
Source: RNAcentral